This 508-nucleotide ribosomal RNA is filed under the name uncultured bacterium. Its description in RNAcentral is "bacterial SSU rRNA". It matches the Rfam family "Bacterial small subunit ribosomal RNA", at positions 19 to 518 of the family's 1533-position model. The record is from RNAcentral.
CUGGCUCAGGAUGAACGCUAGCGACAGGCUAACACAUGCAAGUCGAGGGGCAGCACGGGAGUAGCAAUACAACUGGUGGCGACCGGCGCACGGGUGAGUAACGCGUAUGCAACCUACCUAUCAGGAGGGGAAUAACCCGGCGAAAGUCGGACUAAUACCGCAUAAAACAGGGGCACCGCAUGGUGAUAUUUGUUAAAGAAAUUCGCUGAUAGAUGGGCAUGCGUUCCAUUAGGUAGUUGGUGAGGUAACGGCUCACCAAGCCGACGAUGGAUAGGGGAACUGAGAGGUUGGUCCCCCACACUGGUACUGAGACACGGACCAGACUCCUACGGGAGGCAGCAGUGAGGAAUAUUGGUCAAUGGGCGAGAGCCUGAACCAGCCAAGUCGCGUGAAGGAAGAAGGAUCUAUGGUUCGUAAACUUCUUUUGCAGGGGAAUAAAGUGCGGGACGUGUCCUGUUUUGUAUGUACCCUGAGAAUAAGGAUCGGCUAACUCCGUGCCAGCAGCCGC